RNAcentral lists this ribosomal RNA (924 nucleotides) under Ralstonia sp. GX3-BWBA. RNAcentral's name for it is "bacterial SSU rRNA". It matches the Rfam family "Bacterial small subunit ribosomal RNA", at positions 8 to 922 of the family's 1533-position model. The record is from RNAcentral. Lineage: Bacteria; Pseudomonadati; Pseudomonadota; Betaproteobacteria; Burkholderiales; Burkholderiaceae.
AGAGUUUGAUCCUGGCUCAGAUUGAACGCUGGCGGCAUGCCUUACACAUGCAAGUCGAACGGCAGCAUGAUCUAGCUUGCUAGAUUGAUGGCGAGUGGCGAACGGGUGAGUAAUACAUCGGAACGUGCCCUGUAGUGGGGGAUAACUAGUCGAAAGAUUAGCUAAUACCGCAUACGACCUGAGGGUGAAAGUGGGGGACCGCAAGGCCUCAUGCUAUAGGAGCGGCCGAUGUCUGAUUAGCUAGUUGGUGGGGUAAAGGCCCACCAAGGCGACGAUCAGUAGCUGGUCUGAGAGGACGAUCAGCCACACUGGGACUGAGACACGGCCCAGACUCCUACGGGAGGCAGCAGUGGGGAAUUUUGGACAAUGGGCGAAAGCCUGAUCCAGCAAUGCCGCGUGUGUGAAGAAGGCCUUCGGGUUGUAAAGCACUUUUGUCCGGAAAGAAAUGGCUCUGGUUAAUACCUGGGGUCGAUGACGGUACCGGAAGAAUAAGGACCGGCUAACUACGUGCCAGCAGCCGCGGUAAUACGUAGGGUCCAAGCGUUAAUCGGAAUUACUGGGCGUAAAGCGUGCGCAGGCGGUUGUGCAAGACCGAUGUGAAAUCCCCGAGCUUAACUUGGGAAUUGCAUUGGUGACUGCACGGCUAGAGUGUGUCAGAGGGGGGUAGAAUUCCACGUGUAGCAGUGAAAUGCGUAGAGAUGUGGAGGAAUACCGAUGGCGAAGGCAGCCCCCUGGGAUAACACUGACGCUCAUGCACGAAAGCGUGGGGAGCAAACAGGAUUAGAUACCCUGGUAGUCCACGCCCUAAACGAUGUCAACUAGUUGUUGGGGAUUCAUUUCCUUAGUAACGUAGCUAACGCGUGAAGUUGACCGCCUGGGGAGUACGGUCGCAAGAUUAAAACUCAAAGGAAUUGACGGGGACCC